RNAcentral lists this non-coding RNA (45 nucleotides) under Schistosoma mansoni. Lineage: Eukaryota; Metazoa; Platyhelminthes; Trematoda; Strigeidida; Schistosomatidae. The record is from RNAcentral.
GUCCAGCUGACGAGUCAAAAACAAGACGAAACGCGCGUCCUGAAU